RNAcentral lists this ribosomal RNA (190 nucleotides) under uncultured bacterium. RNAcentral's name for it is "partial 16S ribosomal RNA". It matches the Rfam family "Bacterial small subunit ribosomal RNA", at positions 1301 to 1500 of the family's 1533-position model. The record is from RNAcentral.
CAGGCUGCAACCCGCCUGCACGAAGCCGGAGUUGCUAGUAAUCGCGAAUCAGAAUGUCGCGGUGAAUGCGUUCCCGGGUCUUGUACACACCGCCCGUCACACCAUGGAAGUUGGGGGUGCCCAAAGCCGGCAAGCAAAUAUGCUGUCUAAGGCAAAACCAAUGACUGGGGUGAAGUCGUAACAAGGUACC